AUGUCAUUCACAGAAAUUACAGGACAGGUUUCUGUGACUCAGACUCCCUCAGAAGAAGCUCUUCUCGGAGGAACAGUCACUAUAAACUGUCAAACUGACAGAGGAAUUGGAGAUCGUACUCAAGGUUGUGGCUCCUGUCUCUCCUGGUAUCUGCAGAAACCUGGAGAAGCUCCUAAACUCCUCAUUUAUUCCAUUAAGUCACGACAGUCAGGAAAUCCAUCGAGAUUCACUGGCAAUGGAGCAAAUUAUGGAACAGAUUUUACUCUGACCAUCAGUGGAGUCCAGACUGAAGAUGCUGGACAUUAUUACUGUAUAAGUAGACACUGGAUCAACAGUAAACAUGUGUUCACACAGUGA
This is a non-coding RNA of Rhinichthys klamathensis goyatoka, 357 nucleotides long. The record is from the annotation of a RefSeq genome assembly. Lineage: Eukaryota; Metazoa; Chordata; Actinopteri; Cypriniformes; Leuciscidae.